RNAcentral lists this ribosomal RNA (269 nucleotides) under uncultured prokaryote. Its description in RNAcentral is "partial 16S ribosomal RNA". It matches the Rfam family "Bacterial small subunit ribosomal RNA", at positions 524 to 792 of the family's 1533-position model. The record is from RNAcentral.
GACGUAAGGGGCUAGCGUUGUCCGGAAUUACUGGGCGUAAAGAGCACGUAGGCGGCCUAUCAAGCGGCGGGUGAAAUCCCGCGGCUCAACUGCGGAACUGCUUGCCGAACUGAUAGGCUCGAGCACGGGAGAGGGCAGUGGAAUUCCUGGUGUAGCGGUGGAAUGCGUCAAUAUCAGGAAGAACACCGGUGGCGAAGGCUGCUGCCUGGAACGUUGCUGACGCUGAGGUGCGAAAGCUAGGGGAGCGAACGGGAUUAGAUACCCCGGUA